GCCCAGAUGGCGAAAUUGGUAGACGCACCAGCUUGAGGGGCUGGCGCCGGUUACGGUGUGCAAGUUCGAAUCUUGUUCUGGGCA
Molecule: transfer RNA, 84 nt
Filed under: Bacteroidales bacterium
Lineage: Bacteria; Pseudomonadati; Bacteroidota; Bacteroidia; Bacteroidales
Description: tRNA-Leu
Rfam family: tRNA
About the family: Transfer RNA (tRNA) molecules are approximately 80 nucleotides in length.
Source: RNAcentral